GGAGAGAUGGCUGAGCUGGUCGAAAGCGCUCGACUCGAAAUCGAGUGUACUGCCAGAAGCAGUACCGUGGGUUCGAAUCCCACUCUCUCCGCCA
Molecule: transfer RNA, 94 nt
Filed under: Clostridia bacterium
Lineage: Bacteria; Bacillati; Bacillota; Clostridia
Also listed under: 1 other name
Description: tRNA-Ser
Rfam family: tRNA
About the family: Transfer RNA (tRNA) molecules are approximately 80 nucleotides in length. Their secondary structure includes four short double-helical elements and three loops (D, anti-codon, and T loops).
Source: RNAcentral